CAAGGUUAAAUAAAAACGUGUUAAUUGAAGGCAUCGGUAGAGAGAAGGAGGACGUAGGCAUUAAGAUUUACAGCUUAUGCUUAGAGCCUGCAGAGAAUUAAACAACGUAACUGUAUUUCCCUUGGGUAUAUCAUAUAAAAGCCAAAACAAUUUAAUAUGGCUCCCAAGAUCCAGCCUAGGAGAUCAGGCGGGAACGUUACAGGAGAAGCAGGCAAACUGGAUACAUUUCUAAAAUCACCUAAAGAAACAAUAAAAACUAGAAC
Molecule: long non-coding RNA, 263 nt
Organism: Hyla sarda
Lineage: Eukaryota; Metazoa; Chordata; Amphibia; Anura; Hylidae
Exons: 3
Source: RefSeq, a predicted model, not a curated record